GCUUUUGGUUCAGUGGUAGAAUGCUCGCCUGCCACGCGGGAGUUCGAUUCCCGGCCGAUGCA
This 62-nucleotide transfer RNA is filed under the name Cordylochernes scorpioides. RNAcentral describes it as "tRNA-Gly". Lineage: Eukaryota; Metazoa; Arthropoda; Arachnida; Pseudoscorpiones; Chernetidae. The record is from RNAcentral.